AGAGUUUGAUCCUGGCUCAGGAUGAACGCUGGCGGCGUGCCUAAUACAUGCAAGUCGAACGAGGUGCUUUUGUAGCAAUACGAGAGUAUCCUAGUGGCGAACGGGUGAGUAACGCGUUGGUGACCUACCCCAAAGUGUGGGAUAACAGUCCGAAAGGAUUGCUAAUACCGCAUGUGGUCAUUGGAUUUAGAAACUGAUGACUAAAGGAGCAAUUCGCUUUGGGAGGGACCUGCGUCCCAUCAGCUAGUUGGUGAGGUAACGGCUCACCAAGGCGACGACGGGUAGGGGACCUGAGAGGGUGGCCCCCCACAAUGGAACUGAAACACGGUCCAUACACCUACGGGUGGCAGCAGAAGGGAAUCUUGCGCAAUGGGCGAAAGCCUGACGCAGCGACGCCGCGUGCGGGAUGAAGGCCUUCGGGUCGUAAACCGCUUUCAGCAGGGACGAAAUUGACGGUACCUGCAGAAGAAGGCCCGGCCAACUACGUGCCAGCCGCCGCGGUAAUAC
Molecule: ribosomal RNA, 507 nt
Filed under: uncultured bacterium
Lineage: Bacteria
Description: bacterial SSU rRNA
Rfam family: Bacterial small subunit ribosomal RNA
Source: RNAcentral